Carassius gibelio (silver crucian carp) is the source of this 1124-nucleotide long non-coding RNA. RefSeq lists it as uncharacterized. The transcript is spliced from 3 exons. The record is from RefSeq and is a predicted model, not a curated record. Lineage: Eukaryota; Metazoa; Chordata; Actinopteri; Cypriniformes; Cyprinidae.
UGUAGCUCAGUUAGUAGAUUAUUGCGUUAUACCUUGAUAUGUAAUCAUGCUAUCAUGGGUUCGAUCCCAGGGAACAGGGACUUGCACGAAAAUGUAUAUGCUCAAUAAAUCAUAAUUUAACAUGAUUUCUGUGAGGGUUAGGUUUAGGGGUGGGGUUAGGUACGAAUAAGCCACCUACAGUAGUAAAAUAUGUAGGAAAUACUGUGAGAUCGGUGUAAAACGCCCACACAUUGCAUUUAAAUAAAUGUGCGUUUUGAUUGGUAAUGACGUUAUACGUCAAUUCAUGACGACAGAUGCAACGCGAUACUGUCAUUAUUUUUACGCCCGCUAGAGGUCGCUUAACUUUAAAACGUAAUAUAGGUCGUAAUAAAUGCUUGCACAAACGACCUACAGUAUAUGGUUGUUUUUUUGUUGGAGGACAGGCUCGUCUUGUACUAGGACACUAGGACCCGACCGACCGCGACCCGAAUAGUAUUAAAAAUGUUUUUGAAUGACUCAUAACCGCAGGCAACCGCGGACGACCGCAGGCACCAGCACAUUUUGGAUCAACCCGCGCAUCACUGAUUCUCGUAGCUUCAUAAAAUUAUGGUUGAACCAUAGAUGUCACAUGGACUACUUUAACAAUGUCCUUGCUACAAAUAAAGCAGGAUAUCAACCCACAUUAUUUCAGACUCUGUCCUUUCAUUUGCUUUUAGUGUAGAGGAACAGAGAACAUCUGGUGUAUUCACCUGCAAAACACUAGCAGGAAGCUGACCAUGUGACGUACAGUGGAGUGGGAGAGCGGCCCUGUCUGAUCCCAUCAGAGAUCACUGCUCCUUCACAGAUUCUAUCUCCUGUGUCAGUCAUCAUCCUGUGAUCCUUAACCAAUCCACAGUCACCAGGUGGGUUGGUAUUUGUUAUCCUCACCCAAUCAGAUUGCAUCACACCAUAGAAUUCUUGCUGAGUUGUGACUUUCAGCUGACGGUUCAAAAUAUUUUUAGCAUGGAAGCAAGGAAUGAUUCAGCUGUUUUUGUUAGAUUUUUUUUUCAUUCUGAAUUGCAGGUCUACAACAAAAACAACAUAAUACACACCCAAAACUUUGAUAUACAGGAACAUUAUAUCCUCAUAAUAAAGCUAAAUGUAAG